This 759-nucleotide ribosomal RNA is filed under the name uncultured bacterium. RNAcentral describes it as "bacterial SSU rRNA". It matches the Rfam family "Bacterial small subunit ribosomal RNA", at positions 28 to 776 of the family's 1533-position model. The record is from RNAcentral.
AUUGAACGCUGGCGGCAGGCUUAACACAUGCAAGUCGAACGGUAACAGGGAGAAACUUGUUUCUCUGCUGACGAGUGGCGGACGGGUGAGUAAUGCUUGGGAAUCUGCCUUAUGGAGGGGGAUAACCACUGGAAACGGUGGCUAAUACCGCGUAAUAUCUUCGGAUUAAAGUGUGGGACUUUCGAGCCACACGCCAUAAGAUGAGCCCAAGUGAGAUUAGGUUGUUGGUGAGGUAAUGGCUCACCAAGCUUACGAUCUCUAGCUGGUUUGAGAGGAUGACCAGCCACACUGGGACUGAGACACGGCCCAGACUCCUACGGGAGGCAGCAGUGGGGAAUAUUGCACAAUGGGCGCAAGCCUGAUGCAGCCAUGCCGCGUGAAUGAAGAAGGCCUUAGGGUUGUAAAGUUCUUUCAUUAGUGAGAAAGCGGUUAUAUCUAAUAGGUGUAACCAUUGAUGUUAGCUAAAGAAGAAGCACCGGCUAACUCCGUGCCAGCAGCCGCGGUAAUACGGAGGGUGCGAGCGUUAAUCGGAAUGACUGGGCGUAAAGGGCACGCAGGCGGUUAUUUAAGUCAGAUGUGAGAGCCCCGAGCUUAACUUGGGAAUUGCAUUUGAUACUGGGUAACUAGAGUCCUCUAGGGAGGGGUAGAAUUCCAUGUGUAGCGGUGAAAUGCGUAGAGAUGUGGAGGAAUACCGAAGGCGAAGGCAGCCCCUUGGAGAGAGACUGACGCUCAUGUGCGAAAGCGUGGGUAGCAAACAGG